This 453-nucleotide ribosomal RNA is filed under the name uncultured bacterium. Its description in RNAcentral is "bacterial SSU rRNA". It matches the Rfam family "Bacterial small subunit ribosomal RNA", at positions 28 to 507 of the family's 1533-position model. The record is from RNAcentral.
GACGAACGCUGGCGGCGUGCUUAACACAUGCAAGUCGAACGGGAGUAUUGAAGAAGCUUGCUUUAGAGAUACUUUAGUGGCGGACGGGUGAGUAACGCGUGAGGAGCUGUCCUAUGCAGGGGGACAACAGCUGGAAACGGCUGCUAAUACCCCAUAAGCCGAGAGGUAAAAGGAUCAAUCCGGCAGAGGAGGUACUCGCGUCCUAUCAGCUAGUAGGUGAGGUAACGGCUCACCUAGGCGAAGACGGGUAGCCGGCCUGAGAGGGCGACCGGCCACACUGGGACUGAGACACGGCCCAGACUCCUACGGGAGGCAGCAGUGGGGAAUAUUGCACAAUGGGGGAAACCCUGAUGCAGCAACGCCGCGUGGAGGAAGAAGGUUUUCGGAUUGUAAACUCCUGUCUUUUGGGACGAUAAUGACGGUACCAAAAGGGAAGCCACGGCUAACUACGUG